UAUCCUGCGCAACAGAGCUGCAGAGGAAACUGGGAUUAAGAGCAAAGAAUGCUCUGUACUUGAGGAGAGAUAUGAGGAGGGGAGGACUGAAAUUGAACAGAAUAUUGUAGAACUCAACAGAACCAGAAACUCCAAAACAGCACUCAUUCUGAAUGUAAUAAACCUGCAUGAUGAUCUGACAACUCUGAGGGAUCUGAUCUCCACCACAGAAAAUCCAGACAGGAUCUCAGAGCUGCAGAGGCAACUGGAAGAGAAGCAAGAAGAACUGAACUCCAAGACUGCCGACAUAGAGAGACUGAUUGCCAAUCCAAAAAUAAUUUUAACAAUCACCGAGCUGCAAGAUGAGAUAGGGGCCCUUCAGAAAAAGGCUGGCAAUAAUACUACUGGUGGCCGUGGAGAAGAGUUGCAAAACAGAUUGGAUGGCCUUAUCAGUGAAAUAGACGACAAAGACGGUGACAUUACAAAACUGAUGCUGAACAUCAUGACGCUGCAGAGUCAGGUGGAGCAGCUGCAGAGACAGUUGUUAGAUGUCCACAUGUUAAAAAAAUAACUCAGGUAAAGCUCAGUAAUGAUCUUACAACCAAGAAGGACAAGCUGCAGAAAUACAUCAACGAGCUGAAUGAGAAGAAUCCGACAAUUGCCAUCUUGAUAUUUGUUUUUCAGUUCUCACAGUCACUGAUCUGCACAACCAACUCAGAAACCUAGAAAAAGAAAAGAACAAUGACAACACAACGUCUACAGUUGUUCCUAAGUAUCUCAUUGUCUUCAGAUUACUGAAUUCACUUCAUAAAACCUUUGCGGUUUGAUGACCUGAAGCACAACUGACUUUUUCUAGAGCCGAGGGAACAGCAAAAGGCAAAAAUUGCAGAACAUCCACGUGAUCAAUCUGAGGUCAAGGUCCUUCACAGUCUGCUUCAAGCUGAAGAGAGAGAACAUGCUUUUGCUCAGCCUGAGGUGAGAGAGCUGCUGAGGACACUGCAAUUAAAGAGUGAAGAAUGCUCUGGACUUGAGGAAAGAUAUGAAAAAUUGGAACAAACACAACAAGAAGUGAACAAAAAACUUGAAAACGCAAAUAAAGAUAUGUCGCCUACUGUAUAUUGUUUGACAGUUUGGGAAAUACGCUUAUUUGCUUUUUGUCAUAGAUUUAGAUCAUGUUUUUAUGCAAUAAUGCUACAGACAGAAGGCGGUUAGCUUAGCACAAAGACUAGAAACGUGUAAACUGCUAGCCUGGCUCUGUCCAAAGGUAAUAAUGUGUGUUGUGAUUUUAUGUGGGGUUAUGUGUCAGACUAUUUCUUGGUUGGGAGCAGACACUUCCUGAAAUCUCUGCCAGCUGGCUGGUUCCUCAUUUCUAGUCUUUAUGCUAAGCUAAACUAACCAGGCCUCUGGCUGUGGCUACAUAUUCACCAUACAGACAUGAGCGUGGAUUUGAUCUAUUCUCUAUCGCUCGGCAAGAAAGCAAACAAGUGCAUUUCCCAAAAUUUUGGACUAUUCCUUUGACACUUGUUCUUGACACUUGGUGUUUGAUACAUACUGUAUUUG
Etheostoma spectabile (orangethroat darter) is the source of this 1539-nucleotide long non-coding RNA. RefSeq lists it as uncharacterized. The transcript is spliced from 12 exons. The record is from RefSeq and is a predicted model, not a curated record. NCBI's taxonomy places the organism in Eukaryota, Metazoa, Chordata, Actinopteri, Perciformes, Percidae.